AUACGGAGGGUCCAAGCGUUAUCCGGAAUCAUUGGGUUUAAAGGGUCCGCAGGCGGUCAAUUAAGUCAGAGGUGAAAGCCCAUCGCUCAACGAUGGAACUGCCUUUGAUACUGGUUGACUUGAGUUAUACGGAAGUAGAUAGAAUAAGUAGUGUAGCGGUGAAAUGCAUAGAUAUUACUUAGAAUACCGAUUGCGAAGGCAGUCUACUACGUAUAUACUGACGCUAAGGGACGAAAGCGUGGGGAGCGAACAGGAUUAGAAACCCCUAGUAGUCC
RNAcentral lists this ribosomal RNA (275 nucleotides) under uncultured bacterium. Its description in RNAcentral is "partial 16S ribosomal RNA". It matches the Rfam family "Bacterial small subunit ribosomal RNA", at positions 523 to 796 of the family's 1533-position model. The record is from RNAcentral.